AAAAAGGGUAUUUUCUCUGCUGCACAAUCUGUUGAACUUGCUUAAAUAGUAAGAAUAAACUUUGGUCACUAAACCAUUUCAACCGGGCAGUUUCAAUUGUACUUACUAGGCCUGAAGCAUAAGAGGAAUCAGAAAUUAUGUUAACAGGCUGUUGGAAAUCUUGCAACGCAGCCUUAAUAGCUUUUAAUUCAAUUCUUUGCACAGAGGUGUGACUGGUCAGUAUGACUCGGUCAGAAUUUAUAGUAUGACAGGCAGCUUUCCCAUUUGAUAACCCAUCAGUAAAAACAGUUAAGGCUCCAGGAAUUGGUUCCUGCCUAGUGUUUUUUGGUAUAAUGAUGGAGGUCUUAUAUAAAAAUUUUAGUAGUUUAUAUUUUAAUAGGUGACAGCUAAGUUCCCCUGAAUAUCCACUUAGCCCAAUUGCCAAUUUUAAGUCAGUUUGAAAUAACAUUUAUUCUUUUAACUUUACUUGUCCUAAGUUAUGGACAGUAAAUGACAUUAAUUAAAUUUCUGAUAUUAGUCUUUGGGUAAAUUUACAUAAACUUUGUUUAAGGAGGCAAAACACAAAUUAUUUAAUUUAACUUAUGAGGCCCAAUAUAUUGAUUUUUAAUUUUAGUUAGACAUCUCAAGGAAACCUCUUUUUAUUUCCUUCCAGACAGCUUUCUUUCUCACACAAGCAACAAAUGUAAGGAACAUGGUUGCCUUUUGAGAUUUUAACAAACACUGUCGCAAAGCUAUAUAUUUCAAGUGAUUUUUCAUUUAUGGCAAAGCGAAGCAAGUAAAUUUAGUAUUUAGUAAACUUUUGAUUUACUAGGGGUAAACACUGCACCACUUCCAGCCUAAUUUAAAAUGCAGUAGUGAGGAGCUUUUGCUAUUUAAAAUUACAU
This is a long non-coding RNA of Myotis daubentonii (Daubenton's bat), 884 nucleotides long. RefSeq lists it as uncharacterized. The record is from RefSeq and is a predicted model, not a curated record. Lineage: Eukaryota; Metazoa; Chordata; Mammalia; Chiroptera; Vespertilionidae.